RNAcentral lists this small nuclear RNA (107 nucleotides) under Marmota monax (woodchuck). The record is from RNAcentral. Lineage: Eukaryota; Metazoa; Chordata; Mammalia; Rodentia; Sciuridae.
GUGCUCACUUUGGCAGCACAUAUACUAGAAUUGGAAAGAUACAGAGAAGAUUGGCAUGGCCCCUGCACAAGGAUGACACGCAAAUUCGUGAAGUGUUCCAUAUUAAA